CAGGCCUAACACAUGCAAGUCGAGCGAUGAAGCACCUUCGGGUGUGGAUUAGCGGCGAACGGGUGAGGAACACGUGAGGAAUCUGCCUUCCACUCUGGGAUAACUCCGGGAAACCGGGGCUAAUACCGGAUACUUUCAACUGGCGGCAUCGCCGGUUGAAGAAAGUUUUUCGGUGGAAGAUGACCUCGCGGCCUAUCAGCUUGUUGGUGAGGUAAUGGCUCACCAAGGCAACGACGGGUAGCCGGCCUGAGAGGGCGACCGGCCACACUGGGACUGAGACACGGCCCAGACUCCUACGGGAGGCAGCAGUGGGGAAUAUUGGGCAAUGGAGGAAACUCUGACCCAGCGACGCCGCGUGAGGGAUGAAGGCCUUCGGGUUGUAAACCUCUUUCAGCAGGGAAUAAGCGAAAGUGAAGGUACCUGCAGAAGAAGCACCGGCAACUAUG
RNAcentral lists this ribosomal RNA (446 nucleotides) under uncultured bacterium. RNAcentral's name for it is "bacterial SSU rRNA". It matches the Rfam family "Bacterial small subunit ribosomal RNA", at positions 43 to 505 of the family's 1533-position model. The record is from RNAcentral.